GCCAGGCGCGGUGGCGUGCGCCUGUAGUCCCAGCUACUCGGGAGGCUGAGGCCGGAGGAUCGCUUGAGUCCAGGUGUUCUGGGCUGUAAUGGGCUAUGCCAAUUGGGUGUCCGCACUAAAUUCAGCAUCAAUAUGGUGACCUCCCGGGAGUGGGGCACCACUAGGUUGCCUAAGGAGGAGUGAACCAGCCCAGGUCGGAAACGGAGCAGGUCAAAACUCCCGUGCUGAUCAAUAAUGACUAAAUCCCUGUCAUCCACUUAACAUGAUGGUUAUAAUCAAUUAUCUU
This is an unclassified non-coding RNA of Oryctolagus cuniculus (rabbit), 286 nucleotides long. It matches the Rfam family "Metazoan signal recognition particle RNA". Rfam says of the family: The signal recognition particle (SRP) is a universally conserved ribonucleoprotein. It is involved in the co-translational targeting of proteins to membranes. The record is from Ensembl. Lineage: Eukaryota; Metazoa; Chordata; Mammalia; Lagomorpha; Leporidae.